This 344-nucleotide ribosomal RNA is filed under the name Candidatus Woesearchaeota archaeon. RNAcentral's name for it is "partial 23S ribosomal RNA". It matches the Rfam family "Archaeal large subunit ribosomal RNA", at positions 2637 to 2987 of the family's 2987-position model. The record is from RNAcentral. Lineage: Archaea; Nanobdellati; Candidatus Woesearchaeota.
AGGGUGGGGGUGUUCACCCAUUAAAAGGGAUCGUGAGCUGGGUUCACAACGCUGUGAGGCAGUUGGUUUGAUAUCUGCUGGAAAUGUUGGGUGUCUGAAAGGAAGGAUCUUUUAGUACGAGAGGAACGAGGGUUCGUGGCCUCUGGUCUACCGGUUAUCUGGUAAGGUAUGCCGGGCAGCUACGCCAUAAGCGUUAAGUGCUGAACGCAUCUAAGCACGAAGCGUACCUUGAAAAUAGACACCCUAGGACAUCGCAAGAACAGCGGUUUGAUAGAAGCGGUGUGUAAGCAGGAAGGCAACGACCUGUUCAGCAUGCGCUUACUAACGUCCGUAUCUUGUGUUUU